CAGCCGCCACGGUAAAACGGAGGGUGCAAGCGUUAUCCGGAUUCACUGGGUUUAAAGGGUGCGUAGGCGGAUCUGUAAGUCAGUGGUGAAAGCCUGUCGCUUAACGAUAGAACUGCCAUUGAUACUGUAAGUCUUGAGUAUAUUUGAGGUAGCUGGAAUAAGUAGUGUAGCGGUGAAAUGCAUAGAUAUUACUUAGAACACCAAUUGCGAAGGCAGGUUACCAAGAUAUAACUGACGCUGAGGGACGAAAGCGUGGGUAGCGAACAGGAUUAGAUACCCGGGUAGUCCCUGUCUCUUAUAC
This 301-nucleotide ribosomal RNA is filed under the name uncultured bacterium. Its description in RNAcentral is "partial 16S ribosomal RNA". It matches the Rfam family "Bacterial small subunit ribosomal RNA", at positions 509 to 807 of the family's 1533-position model. The record is from RNAcentral.